UUCGGCGCCACGUCGGACUCACAUCGGGGCGACGAUAUUCGAAUUAGUAUCACAGACCAGUUAUGAAAUAGUAGAAAUUAAUUAUUUAAACUGUCAGUUGAAUUAGAUUGAUUUAAAUGGGUAUGCUUCCAGAUGUGAUAAUUAUAUGUGCUUGUAUGAAAUAUGUAGACAUAUUUCGCUUUGAUUGCAUACUUAGUAAUGUCUGCUACGCUUUUGUAACCGUUUGGAUUGUUUUUAUUUUAUUAUGUUUUAUUGUAAAUAUUUGGUAUAGUUUGUUACAUAGUCUUUGUUGUAUUAAUUAUUUGCUAACAUGAUUAUAAAUCUUUUUGCAGUAUUUGUAACAUAUGGUAUGUAACAUAUGUAUUGGAAUAUUUUUAUUUUAAUUUGUUUUACUAUAGUUAAUUAUUUGGUAAUAUGGUUAUAAAGCUUAUUGCAGCAUUAUUAAAUACAUUUAAUUUUAGGAAAAGUUUAAUUUAAUUAUAACGAGCGAAAGUUUGCUGAAAAAAAUUUAUUUUCAAAAAUAAUAUUUUUUUUUAACAAUAUAAUAAUUAAUUAAAUAAUUUUACUACAACAAAAAAGAUUAGAGUAAUUUAUAUUUAUAUUUAAUUAUACCACAUUUUGCUUUUAUAGGAUUAGUGGCACGAGGGAUAAAAACUUAAUUUUAACUUUUAACCAACAUUUAUUCAUCUUAUUCUAUCUUAUACAUCCAAACACUAUUUUUCUUAUACCUGAUACAAAUCUAAUACUCAACCAAGCACAAAAUGCAAUAGUUCCAGCUAGUUCCAAUAUUUGCAUCUAUCUCUGAAAUAAGUAGUUCUAGAUUAUACCCGAACCAAACGAUACCUUAGAGUAUAAUAAUGACAAUGUCGU
This 870-nucleotide long non-coding RNA is filed under the name Ananas comosus (pineapple). RNAcentral's name for it is "long non-coding RNA (ACOM_LNC029695)". The record is from RNAcentral. Lineage: Eukaryota; Viridiplantae; Streptophyta; Magnoliopsida; Poales; Bromeliaceae.